AACGAACGCUGGCGGCAUGCCUAACACAUGCAAGUCGAACGAGACCUUCGAGUCUAGUGGCGCACGGGUGCGUAACGCGUGGGAACCUGCCCUUAGGUUCGGAAUAACUCCCCGAAAGGGGUGCUAAUACCGGAUAAUUUCUUCGGACCAAAGAUUUAUCGCCUUUGGAUGGGCCCGCGUUGGAUUAGCUAGUUGGUAGGGUAAAAGCCUACCAAGGCGACGAUCCAUAGCUGGUCUGAGAGGAUGAUCAGCCACACUGGGACUGAGACACGGCCCAGACUCCUACGGGAGGCAGCAGUGGGGAAUAUUGGACAAUGGGCGAAAGCCUGAUCCAGCAAUGCCGCGUGAGUGAUGAAGGCCUUAGGGUUGUAAAGCUCUUUUACCCGGGAUGAUAAUGACAGUACCGGGAGAAUAAGCUCCGGCUAACUCCGUG
This 433-nucleotide ribosomal RNA is filed under the name uncultured bacterium. RNAcentral describes it as "partial 16S ribosomal RNA". It matches the Rfam family "Bacterial small subunit ribosomal RNA", at positions 29 to 507 of the family's 1533-position model. The record is from RNAcentral.